UUUUUUUAAUUUUUUUUUUUUUUGUUAAUGGUCAGUAUAUUGAAGCACUAAAUUGUGGUUGGUUUCAGAUUUUAACUACAUAUAUUCAAGAUUGCUCCUUUUUUUGUGUUUUUUUUUUAGAAUCAAGAAUGUAAGUGAACAUAUUAAAAUUUUGUUCUUUUUCCAGGUUAUUGUCAUUUUGUGCAAAAAGGGGGUGUUUUUCUAAUCUAUAAGAGUUGUUCUGGUGAUUUAUUGAGUUGAAAAAUGCCGGAUAUUGAGAGACUUGUGAAUGAUUUUGUUGCAAAGCUCAGCAAACGGUUAGUACUGCAGUUAUAGGAAAUAUCUGAAAGAAUCACUUGUUUGAUUUGAUUGGCUAAUAUGGUUAUCUGCUUUUCUGUUUUUGAAUGAUAGUAAGGUUGAAGGGUCACAAGCAACUUCGCGGCUAACAGCAGAGUUGCUUCGUUCUGUAGUUUCGUUGCAAAGAUUGCCACCUACUAACUCAGCUGCAGUGCUCAUUGAGGCUGUGAGCGGUAUAGGUGUUAAAUUGGUUGCUGCCAACCCUGUUGGUAAGCGUUUUAUCCGCUAAUACAUGAAUGAGGAUCUGCUUGUAGAUAUUUUGAUGUUCUAGAAUGGAAUUUAUUUUUUUAAGUAUACGAGUUAUUCAAUCCUAGUUGGUAGUGGAAAUUUGGAUGCUGGGGAUUUCUUUUAAGCGUAUAGGUUGGGACAGGAUAUUUGUCUCUGUUAUGCAGUCUUCUUGUGUUCCAAAUGAACGGAAAAAUUCUUUCAAUGAUAUAUUUGCUUCGUGUCUAGUUUGAUACCAGUUGCUUCACUUGCUCAAAAUAUAGAAAAAAAUUGGAUAUGCCUGAUUAACUAGUUGUGUUAACUUUGUUUACUAGUCAUGUGUAGGAGUAGGAGUAGGAGUAGGACUUAUUUGAUCUAUGGGUUUAGUGUAAGUCAUUAACUGCAGCUGCUGCUCCAUUUGUUUGUUUCAUUUUAGGACUCGAAUGCUGUUAACAUGUAGUGCUAUACUUUUUUUUUGUUGAAAUGGUAACAACUUUGUAUUAAAAUCAUAAAAAGGCUGUGAAAGCCAUAAUUAAGGAGAAACUGAAGCAAAAUAUAAACUGUGAGUUCCCAGUGAAACGAUUUGAGUGUGUUGAGGAAUUCAGUGAUUCUGUCCACCUCCCAAUCAUUUAAGAGUCUCCUGAACUGUAGUUCCAACCUUGAUUUGAGUGUUGGGUGUACUUCUGCACAUUUUCUUAGGCAUGAACCCCAUGUCUCAUUAUUUGUCAGUCCAAUUACUAAAGGAUGUGUAUAUAUAUGUAAAAGGGCCCGGUGCACGAACAUCCUGCGUUCACGCAGGGUCCGGGGAAAGGUCACAUCUGAAGGUGUUGUGUAGGAAGCUAUCCUGACGCAAGCAUCCGUCACUAAUUUCACUGCUUGAGCCCGUUGAUUUCAAUGCAAGGAUUGUCAACAGUACUUCAAAUUGAUACCAGUUGCUUCACUUGCUCGAAGUAUAGAAAAAAUUGGAUAUGCCUGAUUAACUAGUUGUGUUAACUUUGUUUACUAGUCAUGUGUAGGAGUAGGACUUAUUUGAUCUAUGGUUUAGUGUAAGUCAUUAACUGCAGCUGCUGCUCCUUUUGUUUGUUUCAUUUUAGGACUCGAAUUCUGCUAACAUGUAGUGCUCUACUUUUUUUUUUGUUGAAAUGGUAACAACUUCGUAUUAUAAUCACAAAAAGGCUGUGAAAGCCAUAAUUAAGGAGAAAGUGAAGCAAAAUAUAAACUUUGAGUUCCCAGUGAAACGAUUUGAGUGUGUUGAGGAAUUCAGUGGCUCUGUCCGCCUCCCAAUCAUUUAAGAGUCUCCUGAAACUGAAGUUCCAACCUUGAUUGCUCCAAAUGUCAACCCUUUGUUUUUUAUUUAAAAUGAAAACAUUCGGAUAUAAGAGCUUGAGAGAGCCAUCUCCUAUACAGUUGUCCUCCCAAAAGGAUGUUUCAAGUCGAUUACCAACUUUAGUGCUUAUCUUGCUGCUGAAAAUUUGCCAGAGAUUUCUGAUAGUCUUCUGGACACUGACCCCAUACACAAUGUUGAUUGAUUUUGUCUUCUAUGGUCUUCAUCUCCAUAAUUAUCUUUGAUCACCUUCUUCCACAAAGAUUGAUCUUUGUUGGAAUAUCUCCAUAAUCACUUCAUGAGCAGACUUUGAUUCUGCUUUCUAAGGUUCUUUAUACCUAGUCCUCCUUGCUUUUUACCGAGGGUAAGAGUUUUCCACUUCACAAGGUGGAAGCCUCUUCUUUCCUUGCCAUAAAAGUUUCCUUGUUACUCUCCUCCCUCUGUCAAAGCUAAGACAUAUACCUCUGCUAUGCUAACUAUUUGCACACAUGCACAUUUAGGGAGAGGAGGAGGAGGGAGAAAUGGUGCCCUAGUUUCGAUUUAUUUCACUGUUUAGGUGUGCUUCUGCACAUUUUCUUAGGCUUGAACCCCAUGUCUCAUUAUUCGUCACUCCACUUACUAAAGGAUGUGUAUAUAUAUGUAAAAUGGCCCGGUGCACGAACAUCCUGCGUUCAUGCAGGGUCCGGGGAACAGUCACACCUGAAGGGGGUGUAGUGUAGGAAGCCUAUCUUGACGCAAACAUCAGUCACUUAAUUUCACUGCUUGAACCCAUUGAUUUCAAUGCAAGGAUUGUCAACAGUACUUCAAAUUGAGAAUUUAUAGUAAAUUAAUGACUUCUGAAUUCUGAUAGCACUCUAGAUUAAGUAAUCAUAUUUAUUUAUGCCAAGAAUGAUAUAACCAAAAUUUGAUGAAAUUGCAGAGCUUGCUGUUGGAAAUAUUGUUAGGCGUGUUCUUCAUAUUAUCCGGGAGGAGGAUCUCUCUCUUUUGACCAGUAAAACGAGCGACUUAGAUUUAUCAGCUGCAAGUGAUGAUGAAGGAACCAUAGACCAGGAUUAUGACCCAACUCAAUCUGCUGCCGCAGCUGCAGCUGCAGCUAAGAGUUUUCUACGGCCUCCUUCAUUGCAUGCACUUCUGGAGAAUAUGUCGGAUAAAGCUGUACCGAGUAACAAUUACACCUCCUCUUCAGGUGGAGAUUCUGAAGAGAAAACCAAAGGUAAAUGCUCCUGUGCUACAUGAAUUUGAAGCAAUCUAGUCAUUUUUUAGUUUCAGUACUGAAUUAUCUGUUAUUCUGUGUUGCAGCUGAUAAACUUGCCAGGACUCGGAAGUUAAAGCAUGAUGUUAUUGAGGCAAUUAACAUAUUAAUUGAAGAUAUUGAUACUUGUCAUGAUCUGAUUGCAGAACAGGCAGUUGAGCAUAUUCACCAAAAGUAUUUACCUUUCGCAUGUACUGGAAAAUGUGUCUUCAUUUUGUUAUGCACACUACAUAUUUCAAGUAACAUUGUAGCAUGAUUUGAACACAUGCAAUGGAUAUUGUCGUUUCACUGUUCCCCAUAGUUUGUUGUCCAGGGGUUUUCCCUUUGCAGUUCACAAAAAAAUUAUGAUAGGUUACUCAAGACUUACAGCUUGGGUGCGAGGAAAAUGCUACUUCCCUUGAUGGAUAGACAUUUUAUCUGAUAAAUUAACACAUUUUCUUCAUCAGUGAAAAAUCUACUGUUCCAACCUUACUGUGAAAAUGACAAAGAUAGGUUUGUAGCUUAAACAUUUUGCAAAAUAUGUGGUUGCUUUCCUUCUUUACAUUGCUCCGGGGUGAUAUUGUUACAAUCAUUAUUGCAAGGCAAUUUUUUUUGUUGUUUUAACUUUCACCUCUAAUGUAUUUAUUUGUUCUUUUUCACUCUCUUUUCUAGGCAUAUAGCUGCAUAGUUGUGGUGAAUGUAUGUAAUUUAAUUAAAAUGUGAUAGCUAAUUAACAAAUGCAUUUUUUUCAGUGAAGUAAUACUAACACUAGGUAGUUCGAGAACUGCCUUUGAAUUCCUCUGUGCCGCAAAAGAGAAAAAACGGUCUUUUCGGGUGGUUGUUGCAGAGGGCGCACCGAGGUUUGUGGAGUAUUCUGUAAUUUCCGAGAAAUAAAUGAAACAUGAACCUUCUUUUUCAUUGUAACUGUAAAAUUUCCCCUCUUUGUUUGUGCUUGAUCAGGUACCAGGGGCAUGCUCUUGCAAAAGAGCUGGUAUCAAGAGGUCUACAAACUAUAGUUGUAACAGAUUCUGCUGUUUUCGCAAUGAUUUCUAGAGUAAAUAUGGUAACUUUCUGGAUUGGCUAUUUUUAUGCGUUGUACCAAUCUGUAACCUUGUUCUGCUGCUUCGGCUACCUGCGCUCAGAACCGUAACCUUGUUCUGUAGGUUAUAGUGGGAGUUCAUGCAGUGAUGGCCAAUGGUGGUGUCAUUGCACCUGUUGGAAUGAACAUGGUUGCACUUGCCGCUCAAAAGCAUGCUGUUCCAUUUGUCGUAGUUGCUGGCAUUCACAAGGUAUCUGAGCUUUAUUAUCUCUACGUAUUACUCCCUCCAUUUCAAUUUGUUUGUCUUACUUUCUUUCUUAGUUUUUCAAAACGAAUUCCUCUUUCCUUUUUUGGCAACUUCUUAAUUCUAACUUUCCACAUGACAUAUUUUAAGGUCACAAGAUUGAAGGGCAUUUCGGUAUAUUCCACAUAUCUUUAGUUUAAGACCACAAGAUUAACAGUCUUCUUUAUUUUCUUAAACUCCGUGCCAAGUCAAAACCAACCAAACAAAUUGAAAUGGAGGGAGUUUUUUUUUCCUUACCCCUCCCCAGGGUUCCAGACUUUUGCUCCUUUGGUGACUUGAACCACAAUCUUAGAGUUGGAGGUGGGACGUGCUUACCAUCCGUGCAACUCCGAGUCUGAAAUGGAGGGACUAACUAUCAAAAAGGUAUUAUUAAGGUGUGUGUGUGUGGGGGGGGGAGGUUGGAGAAGAGAAAGAGGUCAUGAGAACUAUCAACUUGUACAGUCCAACCGUUUAAGUGGCUAUUCUUUUAACUUAACUAUUGGCGAUUUUUAUACCUCUUGCUGAUUAUCAUUCUCAAUUUAGAAGGCUCUGAUAACAUGAGAAGAACUCAGCUUUUCAGGUUUACUAAAUGAUGUUCAGAACCUUUAAAUGGUGUAUAAGGUUGAUGUAAAGCUUUGCAGAUCCUUGAAUCCAUUUUGAGUUGACCAUAAAGUUAAUCCUUUUUACGCUUGCCACUAGAGCAGCAAACUCUUUUUCUACUUCUCGCUGUACUUAUCAUUAGCUAGUCCGUUCAACUGUUUUCUUUCUGCUACAGUUGUGCCCUUCAUAUCCACACAAUCCAGAGGUUUGUCUGAAUGACAUGCGAUCCCCUGCUGAACUUCUCGAAUUCGGGCGAUUUUCAAACUGCAUGGAAUUUGGAAUGGAUAGUGGGGCUCCUCUUCAAGUUGUUAACCCUGGUUUUGAUUAUGUGGCACCUGAGCUUGUCAGCCUUCUCAUCACCGACAUGUGAGGAUUCUUUACCAUUUUCGAAUUUUUAUUUGUCUUUGCAACAACGAUGCCUCAAUCCCGAACUAAUUUUGGCUUGCACAUAACAAAGUAGCUUGGAUAAUACAGUUCUACAUUGUAUCAUCUACUAAUAUACAGGAAUCUUUUGUUUUGUUAUGUUUAGUAUAGGUUAAAUAAUUAAUUCAUGUUCCAUUCAGUAUUGAUGAUUCAAUUUACUUUUCAAAAAAAGAAGUAAAUUGGACUUAGACAGACUUAAGGAUCAACAUGGACCAUGAGGAUUAGCCGACCCCACCUUGCUUGGGAUUGAGGUUUAGUGGUUGUUGUGUUUAAGAGGGCGUGCAAGGGGAAUUCGUAAUGUAUUAAUUUGCCACUUUGGGAAUUAAUAAGCAGUUUUAUGAUAAUAAUACUCCUUGCAUCUUUCUGAUCUACAGUGGAGGGCAUAACCCGUCAUAUAUGUAUCGUCUCAUAUCGGACUACUACUCAGCUGAUGAUUUUGAUUUGCAAGGGAGGAUACAUAAAUGAAGGUGAUUCUUCCUUUAAAUUCUGGCUUUGACUUCCAAAUAAUCUUUCUGAACAUUGAACAUGUUUGUUGGCCAUUUUUAGGAGAAAAAAUUGACUGCUUCAGCAAUGAAAGCUACUUUUAUUAUUUAACCCUGGUUAAUUUGCUAUCUUCUGUACAUAAUGUCAAAUAAAAAUAUAAGAAAAUGAAUCUUUUUAUAAAGCGUCUAUAAACGCAUCAGAAUCUAUAGCAUAGCAAGAACUAUAAAGAAGGAAAGAAAAGCAAAACAAAGUUUUAUCUCAAUUUCAGACUACUGCAUUUCCUAGCCUUGGAUUAACUUGAUUCAGUGCUUAUAUUGGGUGCGAGUAAGUUUUUACCUCCUGAAAUCAAUCUUUGUUGGCGAGUUACUAUGUAUCUUUCGUCUAUUAGACUCUUACUACGACCAUACAAAAACUUGUGUGAUUGUUGCUUUAAUGAGUUUUUUGUUUUUGCAGAAAGUAUCUUGAAGCUCCUUACUGAAUUUAAGCAAUACAUGCUGAUUUCAGGCAUCUUUUGGAGAGCUGUAGUUGACUGAUGAAGAGAAGUGGCAACCAAAAAAUCAAAUGGAAUGUGUUUGUUAUCUACUUUGGUGGAUAGCUUUAAAUGAGCUUUUUAGCAUAAACACUUUCUGAACAUACUGUACUUUGUUCAGACUAAGUUUUGACUUGUUUAAUGUAAUGUAAUGUGUCCAAGGUGGUAAUAUUAGUUUGUUUCGUUCUUGUUAUAGAUGAAUGUUUAGAUGAACUUUACCUCUUGAAUUACAUCAAUCCUUAUAUGCAUUUGUCUCUCUUGAAUGUAAAGGUUAAACGAGUAUCGCGCACACACAAAUAUAUACCUCACAGGUCUUUCGAGAGGUUAAAGAGCAUCUAACGCAAAAAGGACCUUUCAUUCCCUUUUUUGCUUGUGCAUAACCACUCUUCAGAAGCACCCCCAGCAUAGAGGGACCAAAAAACACCUUUCGUUCUUCACCCUUAGUCCGCGACUAAGUGGGGAUUAUCUGAACUUCAGAAGCAGUGUCAACAGCCUGCAUUUCCAGGUUAAAUUGUUCUUUUUUAAGAUAUGAGAGAAUAUUGUUGGUAUUCAUGAAAGUAGGUGAUCAAGAUAUGAUUGGAGAGUAAUAUCAUGAAAGCAUAUAACUACAAAUUAACAAGCAAUGCCAAAAAAUAAAGUUAUGGUUUUUGAGGGCAUCAAAAUUAGUGUCCAAACAAAUAUGCUCUCAGGUUCCAGGUUCUACUUCUUGCUGAGAUCAAUU
Molecule: long non-coding RNA, 7173 nt
Filed under: Solanum tuberosum (potato)
Lineage: Eukaryota; Viridiplantae; Streptophyta; Magnoliopsida; Solanales; Solanaceae
Description: long non-coding RNA (STUB_LNC009420)
Source: RNAcentral